UCACCGCCUGUCACGAUACAUAAAUUCAAUAUCACCUUAGUAGAACAGCUUCAUGAACGACGUGACCUUCAAACAUACCCAUUGAAUGUGUUUUACAAAAAGUCAUAAAAGUACAAUGACACUGGUAACACGAAUAGGAGAUAUUCCAUACAUUUAUGGAUAGAGAUAAAAUCAUCAUGGAGCAUCCAAUAACAAUCAAAUACCUAACACAGUUUAACAGUAUUGGGUUCCUGUGCCAACGUUACUGUUCACAAAUACUGUGAACUGUCACUGAACAAACAAUUCAACGUAUCACAUUUGAGAUGUUUCUGAGAAGAUUAUUUCAUAUACUAUAGACUAUUAUACACUUUAAGGAGUAAAGCUGAAAUAUAUGAAAUAAAAACAUAGUGAACUUAAUUACCGAAAGCAUAGA
Danaus plexippus (monarch butterfly) is the source of this 412-nucleotide long non-coding RNA. RefSeq lists it as uncharacterized. NCBI's taxonomy places the organism in Eukaryota, Metazoa, Arthropoda, Insecta, Lepidoptera, Nymphalidae. The record is from RefSeq and is a predicted model, not a curated record. The transcript is spliced from 3 exons.